This 259-nucleotide ribosomal RNA is filed under the name uncultured bacterium. RNAcentral describes it as "partial 16S ribosomal RNA". It matches the Rfam family "Bacterial small subunit ribosomal RNA", at positions 524 to 776 of the family's 1533-position model. The record is from RNAcentral.
UACGGGGGGGGGUAAGCGUUGUUCGGAAUUACUGGGCGUAAAGGGCUCGUAGGCGGCCUGCUAAGUCGAACGUGAAAUCCCCGGGCUCAACCCGGGAACUGCGUCCGAUACUGGCAGGCUUGAAUCCGGGAGAGGGAUGCGGAAUUCCAGGUGUAGCGGGUGAAAAUGCGUAGAUAUCUGGAAAGAACACCGGUGGCGAAGGCGGCCAACUGGACCCACAACUGACGCUGAGGCGCGAAAGCGUGGGGGAGCAAACAGG